GACGAACGCUGGCGGCGUGCCUAAUACAUGCAAGUUGAGCGCUGAAGGUUGGUACUUGUACCAACUGGAUGAGCAGCGAACGGGUGAGUAACGCGUGGGGAAUCUGCCUUUGAGCGGGGGACAACAUUUGGAAACGAAUGCUAAUACCGCAUAAAAACUUUAAACACAAGUUUUAAGUUUUAAAGAUGCAAUUGCAUCACUCAAAGAUGAUCCCGCGUUGUAUUAGCUAGUUGGUGAGGUAAAGGCUCACCAAGGCGAUGAUACAUAGCCGACCUGAGAGGGUGAUCGGCCAAAUUGGGACUGAGACACGGCCCAAACUCCUACGGGAGGCAGCAGUAGGGAAUCUUCGGCAAUGGACGAAAGUCUGACCGAGCAACGCCGCGUGAGUGAAGAAGGUUUUCGGAUCGUAAAACUCUGUUGGUAGAGAAGAACGUUGGUGAGAGUGGAAAGCUCAUCAAGUGACGGUAACUACCCAGAAAGGGACGGCUAACUACGUG
Molecule: ribosomal RNA, 497 nt
Filed under: uncultured bacterium
Lineage: Bacteria
Description: partial 16S ribosomal RNA
Rfam family: Bacterial small subunit ribosomal RNA
Source: RNAcentral